AGUGAACGCUGGCGGUAUGCCUAACACAUGCAAGUCGAACGGCAGCACAGUAAGAUCUUGCUCUUACGGGUGGCGAGUGGCGGACGGGUGAGGAAUACAUCGGAAGCUACUUUUUCGUGGGGGAUAACUUAGGGAAACUGACGCUAAUACCGCAUACGACCUACGGGUGAAAGCAUGGGAUCUUGGGACCUUGCGCGAUUGAAUGAGCCGAUGUCGGAUUAGCUAGUUGGUAGGGUAAAGGCCCACCAAGCCGUCGAUCCUUAGCUGGUCUGAGAGGAUGAUCAGCCACACUGGAACUGGGACACGGUCCAGACUCCUACGGGAGGGAGCAGUGGGGAAUAUUGGACAAUGGGCGCAAGCCUGAUGCAGACAUACCGCGUGGGUGAAGAAGUCCUUCGGGUUGUAAAGCCCUUUUGUUGGGAAAGAAAUGCAGCAGGUUAAUACCCCGCUGUUCUGACGGUACCAACAGAAAAAGCACCGGCUAACUUCGUG
RNAcentral lists this ribosomal RNA (492 nucleotides) under uncultured bacterium. Its description in RNAcentral is "partial 16S ribosomal RNA". It matches the Rfam family "Bacterial small subunit ribosomal RNA", at positions 29 to 507 of the family's 1533-position model. The record is from RNAcentral.